GAAAAGACUCACUGAGAACUUCUGAAUUUUUGUACUUGAUGUUGUUCAGGUCCAAACAUCUCAGGAACAGAAUCAAAAGAACAAAUGAACUACUAGUAUGAUCCAACAUUUUCUGACAACACGAAAAAAACACCUAAUUAAUUUAACCACAGGGAACGGUCAGAAUUUACUUUACUCCCCACCAGCAAGCUGCUGCUGCUGCUGCUGCUGCUGGAACAAAUGGUAUGUAACUCAUAUAUGAUAUAUGGGUAGGAUCAGGGGAACUGGAAGGAGCCUCCGAUCUGCGAGUUCUGCGACGGCGGGUUGAUGGCGACCCACAGCAGGGAGAUGGUGAUGGCGAGGAGGCCGGACCAGACGAAGACGAUGGUCGGCGUGCGGCCGCGGCGGCCCAUGAGGCCCUUGGCGAACGGGUACAGGUGAGCCAGCACCCAGAAGCUGAAGAAGACGCCGCCCAGGAGCUUGCUCCACUGCGGGAUCUCGCUGUAGAUGGUGCGGCUGAAGCCGACAGCGAUGGCGAUGAGGUUGACCAUCAUGAUGACGAUGGGCGGGAUCAUGAGCGAGGUCCAUUUGACGAUGUAGAGGUCGGCGAACUCGUCGUUCUCGUCGUCGGCGCCCGACUUGGAGGUCAGCGUGAAGGAGAUCUCGAUGCCCGCGAUGACCUUGAGGAGGCCCUGCAGCACGGCGGCGAGGUGGGCGCUGGUGCCGCCGAUGAGCCAGAACUGCUCGUUCCUCCACCACUCCUCCAGGUUGAUGCCCGACCACUUGAUCUCCAGCACCGCCAGCAUGCACAGCGUCAGGGUGAUCACCAGCAGGUAGGUGAGGAAGGUCACGUCCAGCUCCUUGACGAUGAACUGCCCCGAGAAGAGCGACAGCGCCGGCAGGAAGCAGUACACGAUGAGGAAGAUGGACGUGAACGGGUAGAUGCCCACGUUCAGGUACGCGAUCCUCUGAAGACACUUCAUCCUCCGGCUCGCGAGCAGCGCGUUGUUGCGGGAGAAGAAGAUCUCCACUGAGCCGGUGGCCCACCGGAGCACCUGGUGGAGACGGUCAGUCAGGUUGAUGGGUGCAGUGCCGCGGAAGGCGUCACGCUUGGUGACACAGUAGACUGACUUCCACCCACGGUUGUGCAUCCGGUAGCCUGUGACAACAUCCUCUGUGACUGAACCAUAAAUCCAUCCGACACGCUGACCCCACUCUGUCUUGUCUUCAUACCAGCAUGAGAUGACACUGAUAGCCUCGGCGACCGUGGAGGCGUCGAGAAGGUCACGGGGGACAGUGAGAGCACCAGGAGGACGGCCAUUCUUGACACCAGGGUGAUCAGCAAGCGGGCGCCCUUGGAACUCGGCAAUCGGGAUAGAGUUGAUGAGGAAGUUUGAGUUACCGAACCUCUUGGGAAAUGUUGACAUGUUCAUCUCCUCAUCAUCAAAAUCUGCCAUGCGCAGAGCCCGUGUCUCUUCAGAUGUACCUGAGGAAACAGUGCUCUUGAUCUUGCGCUUCUUCGGGAAGCAACAGCUGCAGCAGCCACCGUGUUCUGUGGAGCGCGGAG
Molecule: long non-coding RNA, 1546 nt
Filed under: Triticum aestivum (bread wheat)
Lineage: Eukaryota; Viridiplantae; Streptophyta; Magnoliopsida; Poales; Poaceae
Description: long non-coding RNA (TAES_LNC013959)
Source: RNAcentral